Molecule: transfer RNA, 73 nt
Filed under: Lecanora markjohnstonii
Lineage: Eukaryota; Fungi; Ascomycota; Lecanoromycetes; Lecanorales; Lecanoraceae
Description: tRNA-Arg
Rfam family: tRNA
About the family: Transfer RNA (tRNA) molecules are approximately 80 nucleotides in length. Their secondary structure includes four short double-helical elements and three loops (D, anti-codon, and T loops).
Source: RNAcentral
UUCUUAUUAGCUCAAUGGUAGAGUAGAAUACUUCUAAUAUUUGGAUCUAAGUUCGAAUCUUAGAUAAGAAUUA